RNAcentral lists this RNase P RNA (339 nucleotides) under human gut metagenome. RNAcentral describes it as "Bacterial RNase P class A". It matches the Rfam family "Bacterial RNase P class A". Rfam says of the family: Ribonuclease P (RNase P) is a ubiquitous endoribonuclease, found in archaea, bacteria and eukarya as well as chloroplasts and mitochondria. Its best characterised activity is the generation of mature 5'-ends of tRNAs by cleaving the 5'-leader elements of precursor-tRNAs. Cellular RNase Ps are ribonucleoproteins. The record is from RNAcentral.
AGCAAGCUGAACAGUUGCGGGUACAUUGUGAAAACAAGUGCCUGAGGAAAGUCCGAGCUCCGCAGGGCAAGAGUAGCGGCUAACGGCCGCCGGGGGUGACCCUAGGGAAAGUGCAACAGAGAUAUACCGCCGAUAUUUCGGUAAGGGUGGAAAGGUGAGGUAAGAGCUCACCGGCACACAGGAGACUGUGUGGCCAUGUAAACCCUAUUCGGAGCAACACCGCAGAGAAACAUUUUGUGCCGGCCCGGCACGUUUCGAGAAGGUGGCAUGAGCCGUGGUGGCAACAUCCGGCCUAGAUAGAUGACUGUUCAAGACAGAACUCGGCUUAUAGGUUUGGUC